GUGAGGAAUAUUGGUCAAUGGACGCGAGUCUGAACCAGCCAAGUAGCGUGAAGGAUGACUGCCCUAUGGGUUGUAAACUUCUUUUAUAUGGGAAUAAAGUGGUCCACGUGUGGAUUUUUGUAUGUACCAUAUGAAUAAGGAUCGGCUAACUCCGUGCCAGCAGCCGCGGUAAUACGGAGGAUCCGAGCGUUAUCCGGAUUUAUUGGGUUUAAAGGGAGCGUAGGCGGAUUGUUAAGUCAGUUGUGAAAGUUUGCGGCUCAACCGUAAAAUUGCAGUUGAUACUGGCAGUCUUGAGUGCAGUAGAGGUGGGCGGAAUUCGUGGUGUAGCGGUGAAAUGCUUAGAUAUCACGAAGAACUCCGAUUGCGAAGGCAGCUCACUGGAGUGUAACUGACGCUGAUGCUCGAAAGUGUGGGUAUCAAACAGGAUUAGAAACCCCAGUAGUCC
RNAcentral lists this ribosomal RNA (445 nucleotides) under uncultured bacterium. RNAcentral describes it as "bacterial SSU rRNA". It matches the Rfam family "Bacterial small subunit ribosomal RNA", at positions 354 to 796 of the family's 1533-position model. The record is from RNAcentral.